UGACUGACUAUGAUGUUUAUGUUUGAUUUUUUUUUUAUAUGAUAUGUAUUCUUGAAUCUUGAUUGCGUUUUAAGAAUGUUUUUGCAGGAAUGUUCAAGACUUCAAGACUCUAUGUUUAAGUCAUAGAGUUUGUAUUAGGAAUGUGAGAAAAGUGUAAUUUUUUUUUUAUUGGAUUGAUCAUGCAGGAGAUUGUCGUUUGAUGAUUGCGAUGAUCUUUUUUUUACUGAUUGAGUUAUUUAAUGAUACUUUGACUUUAAAAAUCUGAUUGCAUCGCUUAACUCUACAGAUUUAGUUAGUAUAUUUUAAGCGAUUUUCGCAACUAAAUUUUAUAAAAUAUAAAAUAAACUUAAACUCCAUCGAUCUUUCUUUGAUUUUUUAAUGUACAAUCUAUAUCUAAAUGCUUAAAAUUAUAAAAUUAAAAUUUAUAUUUAAUACAAAUAGUCUAAACUAUUUAAAAAUUAUUUAUAUAUUUUAAAUUUUUAUAAUAAUAAAUAAAAAAUUAGAUUGGACUUAAAAAAUAUUAUAAAUCUUCUUCUUCAUAUAUGAAGUGAGAAAAAUUGAAGAGAGGAAAAAAAAUAAAAAAAAUUAAAGGGAGAGAGACUAAAAAAAAUUGAAGAGAGAGGAAAAAAAUAAAAAAAAAUUAUUUGAGGAGAGGGAUAAAAAAAUUGAAGAGAGAGGAAAAAAAUAAAAAAAAAUUAUUUGAGGAGAGGGAUAAAGAAAAUGAAGAGAGAGAGAAUGAAAUAAAAAAAAUUGAAGAGAGAGGAAAAAAAUGAAGAGAGAGGGGAAAAAACUGAAGAGAGAAAGAAAAAAUAUUAAAAAGGGAGGGAAAAAAAAUGGAGAGGAAAAAAAAAA
Molecule: long non-coding RNA, 852 nt
Filed under: Ananas comosus (pineapple)
Lineage: Eukaryota; Viridiplantae; Streptophyta; Magnoliopsida; Poales; Bromeliaceae
Description: long non-coding RNA (ACOM_LNC043583)
Source: RNAcentral